This is a non-coding RNA of Pelobates cultripes (western spadefoot toad), 86 nucleotides long. The record is from the annotation of a GenBank genome assembly. NCBI's taxonomy places the organism in Eukaryota, Metazoa, Chordata, Amphibia, Anura, Pelobatidae.
AUCCAAAUCCACCAUCAACGUUUCAGCUCCUCAUGGAGCUUUCCUGAUGAAAGCUCCAUGAGGAGCUGAAACGUUGAUGGUGGAUU